This 460-nucleotide ribosomal RNA is filed under the name uncultured bacterium. Its description in RNAcentral is "partial 16S ribosomal RNA". It matches the Rfam family "Bacterial small subunit ribosomal RNA", at positions 338 to 795 of the family's 1533-position model. The record is from RNAcentral.
CCUACGGGGGGCAGCAGUGAGGGAUAUUGGUCAAUGGACGAGAGUCUGAACCAGCCAAGUAGCGUGAAGGAUGACUGCCCUAUGGGUUGUAAACUUCUUUUAUAUGGGAAUAAAACGUUCCACGUGUGGGAUUUUGUAUGUACCAUAUGCAUAAGGAUCGGCUAACUCCGUGCCAGCAGCCGCGGUACUACGGAGGAUCCGAGCGUUAUCCGGAUUUAUUGGGUUUAAAGGGAGCGUAGGUGGAUUGUUAAGUCAGUUGUGAAAGUUUGCGGCUCAACCGUAAAAUUGCAGUUGAUACUGGCAGUCUUGAGUACAGUAGAGGUGGGCGGAAUUCGUGGUGUAGCGGUGAAAUGCUUAGAGAUCACGAAGAACACCGAUGGCGAAGGCAGUGCACUGGACGGCAACUGACACUGAGGCGCGAAAGUGUGGGGAGCAAACAGGAUUAGAUACCCGGGUAGUC